Helianthus annuus (common sunflower) is the source of this 1182-nucleotide long non-coding RNA. RefSeq lists it as uncharacterized. The record is from RefSeq and is a predicted model, not a curated record. The transcript is spliced from 3 exons. Lineage: Eukaryota; Viridiplantae; Streptophyta; Magnoliopsida; Asterales; Asteraceae.
GUUCGACUCCCGGCAAACGCAUCUUUUUUUUUUAUUCUUUUUACCCUGAAUUUGCAACUUUAAAAUCUUAUUUUGAAGACACACAUAAGCGCUGAAAUUAAAACUUGAAUCUUUUCGUUUGCCGCGAUGUUGAAUAAAGUUCAAUGAAUCAAAAGUGAAAACCAUUGGAAUUUGGUUUUUCAUCGGUUGCUGAAGUAUCUAUCUGCUCUUCCAUUCUUUCUUCGGCUACAAGCGGAAUCGAUGUAAAAGGUUUGGUGAUAGAAGUAUCAUACGUGUUAGUUUAUGAUUGCUUAUUCUGGUAAUUCGCGUAACUCGGUGCCUAAAUUUUUUGUGAGAGAACAGCAAAUUUACAUCUGCAUAUUCAGUGGGUCCCCAAAAGAAAUAUAGAGGGCUGAGAAGAACCAGCUGCCUACCGCCAGUGGUGGAGCUUGACUAAAAGUUCCCGGGGGGGGGGGGGGGGGUUGAUCAUUGCCUACCCCUGGGUUUCCAUUAAGCUCUGUCCCUGCCUACCGCUGAUUCCUUGACCAAAAGAAAUAUUAUUGUCAUCUCGGAUUUGUGUGUUUUCUAUGGGGAGAUCAUUUCAUCGUGUGAGUACAUAUUCGUCUCUUGUGCCUUUGCGCAGUGUACAUGGCAGGUUAUCUCUACCUGGUGUGAAGUCCGAUCUAUCUAUGCCUUUACUUUACGUGACAUUCGUGAUUUGCAUGAGUUCAUCCAUGGAUCCAAGAAAAAGAGGAAAGCCUUUCAUGUUGUGGUUUUGAUUGCUCUUUGGUGCUUAUGGCAUUUGCGUAAUGACAUGGUUUUUAAUCGGAAGUCGGUUUAUGAGUUUCUUUUAGAUAUGCUGCAAACCAUCGAAGAUAGGUCCACAUAGUGGCGUUCCUCAAAAAAGACGUCCGAAGAUCAGAGAACACACUUUUCUUACGCCUGACGACCGUGACCAGCGACAAUAAGCUUCUCCUGUUCAGCCAUAAUGUCUAUUGCUUUUGUCAUUUGUCUUGAAAGUGUUAUCCGUUUGUAUUUAGGAUUGAGUUCCAAUGUGUUUGUGUUUUGUGUGUUUGUUGUAAGUCACGCAUGGCAUAGUAUCAACGUAUGACUCAUACGUUGCGCAUGACUCAUGCGUGGGUAAGAAACUGUAAUGAAACUCUGUCCAUUUGGAUUUUUGAAUAGAAGAAACGUUUAUUUACC